GAUUGAAUGGCUUAGUGAGGUCUUCAGAUUGGCUUCGGAGAGCCGGCAACGGCCCACUGUUGCUGAGAAGUUGAUCAAACUUGGUCAUUUAGAGGAAGUAAAAGUCGUAAGCAAGGUUUCCGUAGGUGAACCUGCGGAAGGAUCAUU
This 147-nucleotide ribosomal RNA is filed under the name uncultured fungus. RNAcentral's name for it is "partial 18S ribosomal RNA". It matches the Rfam family "Eukaryotic small subunit ribosomal RNA", at positions 1687 to 1830 of the family's 1831-position model. Lineage: Eukaryota; Fungi. The record is from RNAcentral.